AGCCAUAUGCUUGUCUUAAAGAUUAAGCCAUGCAUGUCUAAGAAUAAGUCCAUGAAUGACAAAUCUGCGAAUGGCUCAUUAAAUCAGUUAUAGUUUAUUUGAUGGUCUGCAGCUGCUGGAUAACCGCAGUAAUACUGGAGCUAAUACAUGACACUAUGCCCGACUUGUUGGAGGGCAGUGUUUAUUAGAUAUGUGAGCUGACUUUAGUUGGUGAAUCUUAGUAAAUGGUAUCGGACUGAGCCUUUGUGGCUUGGUGGAUCAUUCAAGUUUCUGCCCUAUCAACUUUCGAUGGUAAGGUAUUGGCUUACCAUGGUGACCACGGGUAACGGGGGAUUAGGGUUCGAUUCCGGAGAGGGAGCCUGAGAAAUGGCUACCACUUCCAAGGAAGGCAGCAGGCGCGCAAAUUACCCAAUCCUGACAUAGGGAGGUAGUGACAAUACAUACUAAUGCGGGGCCGCAAGGCUUUGCAAUUGGAAUGAGUACAACUUAAACCUGUUAACGAGAAUCCAU
RNAcentral lists this ribosomal RNA (510 nucleotides) under uncultured eukaryote. Its description in RNAcentral is "bacterial SSU rRNA". It matches the Rfam family "Eukaryotic small subunit ribosomal RNA", at positions 22 to 548 of the family's 1831-position model. The record is from RNAcentral.